CGAAGGGGGCUAGCGUUGUUCGGAAUUACUGGGCAUAAAAGGGCGCGUAGGCGGUCCUGAUCGUCGGAUGUGAAAGGCCUGGGCUCAACCUGGGAACUGCAUCCGAUACGGCGGGACUGGAGUGUGGGAGAGGUUGGUGGAAUUCCCAGUGUAGAGGUGAAAUUCGUAGAUAUUGGGAAGAACACCGGUGGCGAAGGCGGCCAACUGGACCACAACUGACGCUGAGGCGCGAAAGCGUGGGGAGCAAACAGGAUUAGAUACCCUGGUAGUCCACGCUGUAAACGAUGCGUGCUAGACGUUGGGAGACCUAGUCUCUCGGUGUCGUCGCUAACGCUUUAAGCACGCCGCCUGGGGAGUACGGCCGCAAGGUUA
Molecule: ribosomal RNA, 372 nt
Filed under: uncultured organism
Description: bacterial SSU rRNA
Rfam family: Bacterial small subunit ribosomal RNA
Source: RNAcentral